UGGGGAAUAUUGGACAAUGGGCGAAAGCCUGAUCCAGCCAUGCCGCGUGUGUGAAGAAGGUCUUCGGAUUGUAAAGCACUUUAAGUUGGGAGGAAGGGCAUUAACCUAAUACGUUAGUGUUUUGACGUUACCGACAGAAUAAGCACCGGCUAACUCUGUG
Molecule: ribosomal RNA, 160 nt
Filed under: Pseudomonas sp. Fresh_FYM(11)
Lineage: Bacteria; Pseudomonadati; Pseudomonadota; Gammaproteobacteria; Pseudomonadales; Pseudomonadaceae
Also listed under: 2 other names
Description: partial 16S ribosomal RNA
Rfam family: Bacterial small subunit ribosomal RNA
Source: RNAcentral